Molecule: ribosomal RNA, 359 nt
Filed under: uncultured bacterium
Lineage: Bacteria
Description: bacterial SSU rRNA
Rfam family: Bacterial small subunit ribosomal RNA
Source: RNAcentral
AACGAACGCUGGCGGCAGGCCUAACACAUGCAAGUCGAACGAACCUUUUAGGUGAGUGGCGCACGGGUGCGUAACGCGUGGGAAUAUGCCCAUAGGUGAGGAAUAACGUAGAGAAAUUUGCGCUAAUACCUCAUAAUAUCUUCGGAUCAAAGAUUUAUCGCCUAUGGAUUAGCCCGCGUUAGAUUAGAUAGUUGGUGAGGUAAUGGCUCACCAAGUCGACGAUCUAUAGGGGGUCUGAGAGGAUGAUCCCCCACACUGGUACUGAGACACGGACCAGACUCCUACGGGAGGCAGCAGUGAGGAAUAUUGGACAAUGGAGGAAACUCUGAUCCAGCCAUGCCGCGUGAAUGAAGAAGGCC